GGUUCUGCCCCGGGAAAACUACUUGGCUGAUCAGUAUCACUAACCAUCAAAGAAACAGAGAAAAACCACAGAGAAGCUAUAUCUCAUGAAUUAGGAUGGCUUCUAUUAAAAAUUAGGACCCUUCUGCGCUGUUGAUAGACUGUACAAUGAUGCAGGCACUGUGGGAGCUGUCAUAUGAUCUAGCAACUAGGCGUAUGAUUAAAGGCAUUGAAGACAUUUGAUGAAGAGAUAUAUGCACUUACCGUAUUUGUCAUAGUAAUCUGUAUAUUAGCCAAGAAGUGGAAAAAACCCAGAGUAUCUUUUGAUGGGAGAAUGGAUUUAAAAGAAACAUGGUAUGUACAUGUAACAGAAUACUAUUCACUCUUCAAAAGGAAGCAAUUCUGAUACAUUUGAUGAACCUGGAGGAAGUAAUACCUAGUGAAAAAAAACAACUGGACAAAAACUUUCUGACACUUCCCCCCCAAACAUUGUUUCAAGUGCUCAGAAAGUAGGAUGGUGGUGAUCAGGGUGGCAAAAGUACAAAGUUAAUUUUCCUGACAGCUCAGUCAUUUCUCUUCCAACAUGGGAGUCGCCUUCUUGAGGUAACUGCCUAGUCAGCUCAGGACCUGUCCUUCUCCUUCACUGAAUUUCCUUCUGGAUGGCAUCUGGGAUUCAGGAAUGCAGCAAUGGAGCUGGCAGAUCUAUGGAGUGUGGCUGACUUCAGAGAAAAAGCUGGUCCUGUGGUUGGAAUGCUACCUGUGUCUCAUCUUUGAUUGUCAGAAGAACUGGGUGACAUCCACCCCAUUGCCUUUGCCUGCUCCACUUUGGGCUGGGUCCUACAGACACUGAGGACACUGAUCUAGGAAUCCUCACAGCCAUUUGUGAGGAUCCCUAGAACACAUACAGGAACCCCAACAUAAAUAAUAAUGAGUGUUACCUGUGCCCAGGGCCUGUUAUUUUAUGUUACAUACACAACACAUCCGAUCCUUACAAUGUGCAAUAAAUAAU
Mesocricetus auratus (golden hamster) is the source of this 987-nucleotide long non-coding RNA. RefSeq lists it as uncharacterized. The record is from RefSeq and is a predicted model, not a curated record. The transcript is spliced from 3 exons. NCBI's taxonomy places the organism in Eukaryota, Metazoa, Chordata, Mammalia, Rodentia, Cricetidae.